GGUUGAUCCUGCCAGUUGUCAUAUGCUUGUUUCAAGGACUAAGCCAUGCAAAUGUCAGAGUACUUGUGCUUCGGCACAGGGGGGUCUGUGUACGGCUCAUUAAACGGUUUAUGGUCUACCCAACAAAGGAAGGACUUGUGCCUUUCCGACGGGAUAACUGCGCUAACCGUGCAGCUAAUACCUGGAAGAACUUUCCGCGACCAUCAAACUAAGCGUUUGGGAAACUGAAUUCUUAGGGUCUCGGAAGCUGUUGGCCGAAACAAAGACUAUCGCUCUUCACAGAGCAAGUGUAA
This 293-nucleotide ribosomal RNA is filed under the name uncultured eukaryote. RNAcentral's name for it is "partial 18S ribosomal RNA". It matches the Rfam family "Eukaryotic small subunit ribosomal RNA", at positions 6 to 250 of the family's 1831-position model. The record is from RNAcentral.